CGGUGGAGCAUGUGGUUAAUUCGAAGCAACGCGAAGAACCUUACCAGGUCUUGACAUCCCGAUGCUAUUUCUAGAGAUAGAAAGUUACUUCGGUACAUCGGUGACAGGUGGUGCAUGGUUGUCGUCAGCUCGUGUCGUGAGAUGUUGGGUUAAGUCCCGCAACGAGCGCAACCCCUAUUGUUAGUUGCCAUCAUUCAGUUGGGCACUCUAGCGAGACUGCCGGUAAUAAACCGGAGGAAGUGGGGAUGACGUCAAAUCAUCAUGCCCCUUAUGACCUGGGCUACACACGUGCUACAAUGGGCGGUACAAAGGGUCGCGAACCCGCGAGGGGGAGCCAAUCCCAAAAAGCCGCUCUCAGUUCGGAUUGCAGGCUGCAACUCGCCUGCAUGAAGAUGGAGUUGCUAGUAACCGCAGGUCAGCAAUACUGCGGUGAAUACGUUCCCGGGUCUU
This 450-nucleotide ribosomal RNA is filed under the name uncultured Streptococcus sp. RNAcentral's name for it is "bacterial SSU rRNA". It matches the Rfam family "Bacterial small subunit ribosomal RNA", at positions 930 to 1382 of the family's 1533-position model. Lineage: Bacteria; Bacillati; Bacillota; Bacilli; Lactobacillales; Streptococcaceae. The record is from RNAcentral.